GUGUCAGCAGCCGCGGUAAUACGUAGGGUGCAAGCGUUAUCCGGAUUUACUGGGUGUAAAGGGCGAGUAGACGGCUAUGCAAGUCAGAUGUGAAAACUUAGGGCUCAACCUUAAGACUGCAUCUGAAACUGUGUAGCUAGAGUGCAGGAGAGGAAAGUGGAAUUCCUAGUGUAGCGGUGAAAUGCGUAGAUAUUAGGAGGAACACCAGUGGCGAAGGCGACUUUCUGGACUGUAACUGACGUUGAGGCGCGAAAGUGUGGGGAGCAAACAGGAUUAGAUACCCUGGUAGUCCACACUGUAAACGAUGGAUACUAGGUGUAGGCACGAAUGUGUCUGUGCCGGCGCAAACGCAAUAAGUAUCCCACCUGGGGAGUACGGCCGCAAGGUUAAA
RNAcentral lists this ribosomal RNA (391 nucleotides) under uncultured bacterium. RNAcentral describes it as "bacterial SSU rRNA". It matches the Rfam family "Bacterial small subunit ribosomal RNA", at positions 505 to 898 of the family's 1533-position model. The record is from RNAcentral.